RNAcentral lists this ribosomal RNA (484 nucleotides) under uncultured bacterium. RNAcentral describes it as "bacterial SSU rRNA". It matches the Rfam family "Bacterial small subunit ribosomal RNA", at positions 1 to 507 of the family's 1533-position model. The record is from RNAcentral.
CAGUAGUCACGAGUUUGAUCCUGGCUCAGAUUGAACGCUGGCGGAAUGCUUUACACAUGCAAGUCGAACGGUAGAGGGGGCAACCCCUUGAGAGUGGCGAACGGGUGAGUAAUAUAUCGGAACGUGCCCAGUCGUGGGGGAUAACGUAGAGAAAUUUACGCUAAUACCGCAUACGAUCUAAGGAUGAAAGCGGGGGACCGUAAGGCCUCGCGCGAUUGGAGCGGCUGAUAUCAGAUUAGGUUGUUGGUGAGGUAAAAGCUCACCAAGCCGACGAUCUGUAGCUGGUUUGAGAGAACGGCCAGCCACACUGGGACUGAGACACGGCCCAGACUCCUACGGGAGGCAGCAGUGGGGAAUAUUGGACAAUGGGCGAAAGCCUGAUCCAGCAAUGCCGCGUGAGUGAUGAAGGCCUUUGGGUUGUAAAGCUCUUUUACUCGGGACGAUAAUGACGGUACCGAGAGAAUAAGCCCCGGCUAACUCCGUG